GUCAGCACCGCUGUUCCGAUCGCUGUUGACGGCCUGCGGUGGUUCUGCUGAGCAUGGGCCUGUGAGGGGUCCGGUGUGUGCGGACGGCCCUGGCCUGGGUGAUGGCCGGAGGCGGGACAGACACCGGGAGCAUCAUUGAUGUGUGUUGCUGCAGCAACGGCUGACAGAUGAUGCUCUUGUGAGAGUGGGUGGGGCUACGUGGCCCUGAGGCCUUAAGGAGGAGUCUCAGCCCUAAGCUCCUCCCCUCUCUCGUCCCGAGACAGACCAAACGGACGGACACACAGACGGCCGUAACUCUCCCCUCCCUCCUCCUCCUUCCCCCCUCUCUCCCCUGUUCUCCCCUCCACCUGGCCCCUCCUCCUCCUCCCGGCCACCCUCCCCUGUCUCCCCCCUCGUCCCCUGCCACCAUGCUGUGGUCACGCUGCUGGUGGAGAGCCUGAGGAAGCAGACUCUGGAAGGCGACCCUGCUCAGCCAGGGGACUUGUACCUGUCCCUGCUGGACCCGAAAACCCUCGCAGAGUGCUGGCCCCC
Molecule: long non-coding RNA, 531 nt
Organism: Astatotilapia calliptera (eastern happy)
Lineage: Eukaryota; Metazoa; Chordata; Actinopteri; Cichliformes; Cichlidae
Source: Ensembl